Molecule: long non-coding RNA, 240 nt
Organism: Lonchura striata (white-rumped munia)
Lineage: Eukaryota; Metazoa; Chordata; Aves; Passeriformes; Estrildidae
Source: RefSeq, a predicted model, not a curated record
AGAGGCGCUGGCGGCCAGCAUGGCGGCGGGCUGUGAGGGGGGAAACAGCACCGGGGAGCGGGGGCGCGCCGCUGGGUCCCGCAGCGCACCGGGAGGGAGGGACGGAGGAAGUUAUCAAUCCGCAGCCAGCAAAGCAAGCAAGGAGGGUAAAAUCCCCAGAGCUGCCUCUGUGAUUGGAAACUACCUGUCAAUGAAAGCCAUUGAAGAGAUCUUGCAAAUGAACAAAAUAAGGAGAAAUAA